Molecule: long non-coding RNA, 825 nt
Organism: Perognathus longimembris pacificus (Pacific pocket mouse)
Lineage: Eukaryota; Metazoa; Chordata; Mammalia; Rodentia; Heteromyidae
Exons: 3
Source: RefSeq, a predicted model, not a curated record
CACCACAUAAACAGAAAGGAGCUGAAAGUGGCACUGUGGCUCAAGUGGUAGAGUGCUAGUGAGUUCAUGCCCCAGGACUGGCAGAAAAAAAAAAAAAAAAGGCUUUUAAAUCCCCAAAUUGCUAGACUUGGGAACAUAUUAUAUCCAACCUCUUUCCACAAUAGUAGAUAACAAUUUCCAUUCUAAUGGUGUCAGAAACUAUGAAAACUCAUCUUUCCUAGUAAAGUAACUCAAUUUGCUCUAAAUAACAUGCCCUAUAUCUCAUCACACCUCAUCGUUACACAUCUUUUCUACCUCCUGUAAAUAUUGACUUACAGUCGAGGAAAAUCUUGGAUACCUUUUGGCACUAUUACCAUAAUACUGCCAAGGCAAAUUGAACUCACUAAAAUGGGUCCACAAACAUACCAAUGACAUUUGUUAACCAAACAGAGCCAUUUGUUUCAAAUCAUAAGGUACUGAAGUAGUGAGUAUCGCCCACCCAUGGUUAAUUUUAUUAUCACUAUAAUCCUGGACGAGUACACACUUUUCUCACUAAAUUCCUUUUAAACUAUUAAAAGAAGCUUGGAACAGGACUCUUACAUAUUGUCAUGAGCAUUAAAUCUGAGAGAAAUUAGUUGACUACAAACCAAAAUGAAACAAAAAAUCUUUCUGAGGCUGAAAUCCCACUUAUCCUUUGCCAAACUGACCUCCACCAAAUUAAUUUAGAUUAUUUGUGCCUAAGUUUCCUUCCAUGUAAAUUGGAGGUGGUAGUCCAGGUACUAGCAUUUUAAUCAGUUGGCAAAAUGUCUAAGAGGAUAUACACACUGCAGACAGUUGUCCCUGUCA